UACGGGAGAGGCAAGCGUUGUUCGGAAUCACUGGGCUUAAAGCGCGUGUAGGCGGCCCGACAAGUACCUUGUGAAAUACCGCGUCUCAACCGCGGAAUGGCUGGGUAUACUGCCGGGCUUGAGGUAGGUAGAGGUGCCUGGAACUCUAGGUGGAGCGGUGAAAUGCGUAGAUAUCUAGAGGAACGCCCGUGGCGAAAGCGGGGCACUGGGCCUGUCCUGACGCUGAGACGCGAAAGCGUGGGGAGCAAACGGG
RNAcentral lists this ribosomal RNA (253 nucleotides) under uncultured bacterium. RNAcentral describes it as "partial 16S ribosomal RNA". It matches the Rfam family "Bacterial small subunit ribosomal RNA", at positions 524 to 776 of the family's 1533-position model. The record is from RNAcentral.